This 459-nucleotide ribosomal RNA is filed under the name uncultured bacterium. Its description in RNAcentral is "partial 16S ribosomal RNA". It matches the Rfam family "Bacterial small subunit ribosomal RNA", at positions 338 to 795 of the family's 1533-position model. The record is from RNAcentral.
CCUACGGGAGGCAGCAGUGAGGAAUAUUGGUCAAUGGGCGAGAGCCUGAACCAGCCAAGUCGCGUGCGGGAUGACGGCCCUACGGGUUGUAAACCUCUUUUGUCGGGGAACAAAACCCUCCACGUGUGGAGUUCUGCAGGUACCCUGAGAAAAAGGGUCGGCUAACUCCGUGCCAGCAGCCGCGGUAAUACGGAGGGUGCGAGCGUUAUCCGGAUUUAUUGGGUUUAAAGGGUGCGCAGGCGGGGGUUCAAGUCAGCGGUAAAAUCGCGGGGCUCAACCCCGUCCUGCAGUUGAAACUGGACGCCUGGAGUGCGCGAGAGGUAUGCGGAAUGCGUGGUGUAGCGGUGAAAUGCGUAGAUAUAAGGAAGAACACCGGUUGCGAAGGCGGCUUGCCGGUGUGCAACUGACGCUGAGGCUCGAAAGCGUGGGUAGCAAACAGGAUUAGAUACCCGGGUAGUC